GUGCCAGCAGCCGCGGUAAGACGAACCGUCCUAACGUUGUUCGGAAUCACUGGGCUUAAAGGGCGCGUAGGCGGCCCUGUAAGUCGGGGGUGAAAGCCCACGGCCCAACCGUGGAAGUGCCUCCGAUACUGCGGGGCUCGAGGGAGGUAGGGGCAGCGGGAACUUCCGGUGGAGCGGUGAAAUGCGUUGAUAUCGGAAGGAACGCCGGUGGCGAAAGCGCGCUGCUGGACCUCUGCUGACGCUGAGGCGCGAAAGCCAGGGGAGCAAACGGGAUUAGAUACCCCUGUAGUCC
Molecule: ribosomal RNA, 292 nt
Filed under: uncultured bacterium
Lineage: Bacteria
Description: partial 16S ribosomal RNA
Rfam family: Bacterial small subunit ribosomal RNA
Source: RNAcentral